GAGGGCUGCUAAUGUGUUCCCUCCACAUCAACAGACACAUCAGUUUGUAGAUUCUUUUUGUGGGUUUUAUUUGUCAGUGUAGAAUUAAUCCUUUCUAUUUAUUUAUUUAUGGAAUUAGUGCUUUAUUAUUUUAUUACUGAACAAUAGAGCAUGGGUGAUUGGGUGAAGAGCCCCAAACCGAAGCAAAUCUUAAACCUACAAAAUACAAAUAAUCUAGCACCGCUUGUGGUUCAAAAGUUGGUGUUGAAAGCCAAGUAGGAUAGUUGCACCAAGCCAAGUAGGAUAGUUGUCACUACUAAAUAACUUGAUAUUUGCCACAGACCAUAGUUGUGGCUAAACACCUUUUGCCACAGCUCAAGCAUGUAGCAUGGGCUGUAGCUAAACCACCUGUGGCCUAUAGUCAGGUAGUAGAAGCCACACUAAUGGGCUGUAGCAAAAGAGCUAUUGCACCACAUGAGCAAAUAUUCGACAUAAAAGUGUACUUAGUUUUUGACUUUUUAUAAGCAUCAACAUGAGCAAUUCCUUCGAUGAGCACCAUUGGACCUCCUACCAGCAUCACAUCAGCAAUUCCUUCGAUGAUUACCUACCUGAACACCAAAGGCAAUGUCACUUAGACAUAUAACAGUCACAUUUACUGAAACUAUACCCUGUUGAUAUAACCAGACUUGAAAAUUACUGAAAGUGACACUAUAACCAGACCUGAAAAUCAGACCACACCAUGGCUUAUCUAGCUUCUCUUCAGUAAAGAAGCAAUCUGUUCUACUGAUGGGUCAACUCUAUAUUAACUUUUGUUUAUUCAAAAGUGAAAAUCUCUAUGAUUACAACACAAAUACUUUACAGUUACAAGGAUGUCAACUACGGAUGGUUCCUCAACUAUUUCUUUAUUAGUAUAUUAGAUAGCACAAAUUAGAAUAGUAACACAUACGUAUUUGGAGUGCUGGUUUUUAAGUGCAAAACUUGCAUUUUUAUAGAUAUUGAUACCUUAAACCUCCCCGAAAUACAUCAUACUUCGUUAUGAACAUCUAACAAGUUAAACUCUGAUCUAACGUUUUUCUUCCAGUCAACUACUUCCUUAGUUCAGCACACACCCUUUGUUCUUCCUCAACCUGGCUAUAGAGAUUGGAUAGGUCAACUACUACUUGUUCGUAAUUUUUACACUUGAAAACCGUAUUUCUAUCAAAUCCAAAGCCACACGUACAGGACAUAAGUAACAUACAUAAACAUGUGAUAAUUUUUCAAAGAUAAGUUGGAACACAAACAAAUUCCAGAAAUAAUUAGCUUAAAUUUGGUGGUCAAUCGGUUCAAUCAUAUAUUCAUAUAUUAUAUGCAAAUUAAGCAAAGAACCAACGUAACCACCUGUAAAUAUCAAAUUACCAAGAAAUACAGAGAGAGUGAGAGAGUGAGAGAGAGAGAGAGAGAGAGAGAGAGAGAGAGAGAGAGAGAGAGAGAGAGAGAUUUACUUACUAAUAGUAGGAGAAAGAUGUUCGAAAGUGUCUAAAGUGAAACUGAGAAGAAGACUACUUUUACCAACACCUGAAUCUCCAACAAACAACAAUUUGAACAAGUAAUCAAAUUCUACUCCUCCUACUCCUAAAUCCAUCGAUGAUGAUGAUGAAAACAUGUCAGAUGAAAACAUGGAGUGAUGAAAACUCUAGAGAACAGUAUAUAUAUUAUCCUACUCAUUUGGCUUUUUCAAGUGAUGAAAACAUGGAGUGAUGAGAACAUGGAGUAAUCAAAUUCUACUUUUGCGCUUAAACUCUAGAGAAUAGUAUAACUAAAUCCUACUCAUUUGGCUUUUUCAUUCUACCAAAAAGCAGGUCCGCUGAAAACAUGGAGUGAUGAGAUGAAUGCGCAGCUUCAAAAAGGUUACUAAAAGGUGUUUUGCGCUUCAUACUUUUAAGUUUCAUCUAAACUUUGAGAUACCAGGGCAGUAGAGCUCCUUAUGCCUAGAGUUUCUUGUGCUCCCUAGUUUCACUCCUAGUUUCAGCUUAAUGGUCUCUCAAUAAUAUAAUAUAAUUACAGUUAUUAGUGCGAGCAUGGUAAUAGAAACAUGGGGGAGGUUCACAAGUGGCAUAAUUUCAUAUAAUAGAUGACCAACUUACAAUAUGCAAAACAAGUAAGCUAGAAACUGAGUUAAUGUGAAAAUGAUCACCUUGAUGCCCUUGAUUUUUCCAAACCCAUUCUUCCUUGAAUGCUCUUUGUAGUGACAUACUUCAAUUCAUGAUCAACAUCCUAAUAUAAAAUUCAACACAUUUCUAGAUUAAUAAGAAAUCACAAGCCAAAAUAAAGCCAUACAAGUCAGCAGAUAACCUCAUCAAUGUGUUGACAGUGUUCAUUCAAGCAUUUUCAAAAUGGUAUAAAACCUAUCAUCCUUGAAAAUUGCUAGCCAAGUGCAAGCAGUUGUUUCUAUGUGGAUAGGAAGCAUUGCUAUCUAUCAAUGCAGAUAAUGUCAUAGAUAAGAUGAUACGAGGGCUCGGUAUAGAGAGAAAUUCUUCUGUAUCUAUGAGUUGCAGUAAAAAGUUUCUGUAAAGAAUGUUGUAACACUAUCAAUGGUGGCCUAAGAUGCAAUUUCCUGGGCAAGGAAAUGAAGGCCUCUAGGAGCAAAGUUACUGGUUCAUUUCAAAGAACAGAAAAUGCCCAAAUGAUUGAUUUUGAAUCUUAACAGAAAAAUCAUAUGUACCUGUACCACAACAUCAUUGACUAAUGUCAUGCGAGUGCUUGGGUCCUUAUUUGUGACUUCAUUAAUCUUCUCCUAUUAUUUGAUGUCAAUCACAAAAUGGUAACACAAUUAGCUUUUCAAUCACAAAUAAGUAUUAUUGGAUGUCAAUCACAAUGUACUAAAGCUCAGGUGAAUAAAACUCUCAAAGAAACUUACCGGCGCUGCGAUGCCUUAUUUGCCUUUGUGUGGAGCUCCAAGAAUAUAUCAGACCUUAAAUUUGAAAAUCAUGCACAUUCCUUUCCACAGCCAUCUCGUGGCGUAGAACUUCUAUGGAUUUCCUCCCAAUACAAGGAGGUGCUGUUUGUUUCGACCGGUUUAUGGUAUUCCUUGCGCUAGCUUCCUGCCAAAAAUAAGUACAUGAGUUUCCAAUAGUGAAAAAUGUACCGAAAGAAGAAAAAAAAAACCAACCAGUUGUUUUCAAUAUAAACAUUCCUAAUGUAAGGCGAGGGCACCUCAGGAAAAGUCUGAUAACAACAUGGGAUGUCACGACGCGAUAAUAAACCCAAUUCUGAUGAAAACAAUGAGACUGCCUCUUUAGGAUCAUAUGGUUGUCCAAACUCAUCAAUCUUCAACACUAACUUCCCUUCAAAUUAAACGUUCAAUAUGCCUUUUGCAAUAGUUCUUUUCUUUGACGACCUGGACAAGGGCUCCUUUCCUACAUAUGUAAGGAAUGACUAUCAGAUACUUUUGUAGUUACAGUGUAGCUACAAAGUUCAAGGAUUCAACAAUUUCAUUUACAAUAAAAUCCCAGGAAAAACUACAACCUCAAACGAGGCAAAAGUGUAAAUUUACAGAGCAGCGCUAGGAAGUAAUAAACAUCAAUAAUGAAAAGGAAUAGUGGUCAGAUAAUUUUGUAGUUACUGUGUAGCUACAAAGUUCAUGGAUUCAACCAUUUCAUCCACAGUAAAAAUCCUAGAAAAAACUACAGUUCAACAACCUCAAACGAGGCAGAAAUGUAAAUCUGCAGAGCAGCUUUAUGCCAUAAUAAAGUUAGGAAAACUACUUCAAAUAAUCACCAACCUACACCGACAAAAUUUUCAGUAUAUAUCAAUACUAUAGUAACUAACUUGUAUAAUGACAGCUUCAAGCUAACAACACUAUAGAAACUUAGACACUACUGCACUUUCCUUUCCUAGAUGAUUUAGUCUAGUUACUAGAUUAUGAACUAGGUCAUAAUCUACUGCACUACUAUAUUCAUAUCUUUAUAAAGUUCUGUGUAUAAACAUUACUGCACUACUACAUUCAUAUCUUUAUAAAGUUCUGUGCAUAAACAAGCAAAUAUCAAAGUGAAGAAAGUGACACUAUAACCAUCAAUAAUAAUAUUGUUUGUAUUUACAUGUGCUUUUUCUAUAUAGCUUUCCAUAAUGCAUGGAAUAGUGGGAAUUAGUCCAUUUCUAAGCAGUGUACCUAUCUUAUUGGGAUUGAGAACGUAGCUCUAUAAUCAGAAAAAUCUCUAUAGUCGUAUCUUAACAUGGAGCCCAAGACAAGAACAAGUCAAGAUGUUAUACCAAAGAAAAGCAGCAGCAGGAAUAAGGGAAGGGUAUUAGUUCAUUUCAAAAGUUCACUAUGAAAAGUGCUUCAAAAAAUGGACAAAAAGAAGGACAAAUGUGAAAAAUAAACAACUGGAACAUGUGGACUUCAUGUUCAAGUUAAAAACAAAGGUGAAACACAGAAACUACAUGUUCUUUUCAUAACAAUAACUUAUAACUUGGAUGUAUCAUGCAUGUCAUCACAGUUAAUAACAUUUUUUUUGUAGAAAAAUAAUUGUAAGGCUGCUAUAGUUCUCCCCCAAGUAUACAGAAGACCAUAAACUUCCUUCAUGAGGAGACAGAGAACAGUAAACAUGGAAAUGACAGGACAACAGGAUGGCAAAUAAGCGUUUUGGAAAUCCUAUCUCAUCCAGUUUAUAUGGUAAGUAGUACACUAUGUUAUUUACAUUUUAAAAGAGAACUGGGUUAAAAGUUUAAAAGUUUCCUGUACUAUAUUUAGCUUCAUUGUAACUCGUCUCUUCAAGUAUAAUAGUGGUUGCUAGCCUAUAUAAUAGUGGUUGCUAAUGCCUAUGUUAUUUCAUUAACUUCCAUUUCUAGUGUCAAACAUGUUUCACAAAUAUUCAUGUGCUUUCAACUCUUAUUGUUCAUUCAAGCCUUUCAUCAAACAGUUAUGAAUCAAACACAAUGAGUAAGAAAACAGUAGCAGCUAUAUAAAAAGGUAUCUCAAGUUUAUUUUGCAAGGCAUAAAAUACACAGUGUUUUCAUUCCGGCAUUUAAUCAAACAGUUAUGAAAACACAUUAAUGAACUUACACACAUAACACAAAUCUCAAAUUGUCAAACAAUGAAACAAUUGAAACACAAAUCAAUUGCUAUAAACACAAAUCAAUUGACACACAAAGUGAUUAUAGACACAUUGUAGAUUUAGAAUCAAACAAUUACACAGAUCAAUCAAUAAAACCUUUUAUAGCCGAUAAAUCAAACAAAUUGAUGGAAUCAAACCAUUACAAUAUGAAUCACGAAGAACUGAUAAAUCAAACAAAUCGAUUGUGACGAACCUUCUGUGGCUAUUAAUCACGAAGAACCUUCUGCCGCUGUUAAUCACGAAGAACAUUCCAUAGCUGGUGGAGAGAAGUGUUGAUCGAAUGAAUUGAGAGUUUUGAACUUUGAAGUCGAAGAGAGGGAAAGAUAGGUGUGAAAUCGAAGAGAGGGAAAGAUAGGUGUGAAAUCGAAGAGAGAGAUGUGUGAAGUCGAAGAGAGAGAAAGAGAGGUGUGAAAGUGAAACUGGGAAUCGAUAGGUGUGAAAGUGAAACUGUGAGAGAUAUGUUCUGUCAUGUCAAGUCGAAGAGAGAGAAAGAUAGGGUUAUGUUACAUUGGGCCACAACAACAAAAGCCACAGCCCAAAACUGAUGCAAGCCCAUCUACUGAUUAGGGCCGUGGCUAAAGGUUCGUCCUAGCUGUGACCAAAUCCUAGUUUUCUGGUAGUGUGCACCA
RNAcentral lists this long non-coding RNA (5701 nucleotides) under Aquilegia coerulea. Its description in RNAcentral is "long non-coding RNA (ACOE_LNC002276)". Lineage: Eukaryota; Viridiplantae; Streptophyta; Magnoliopsida; Ranunculales; Ranunculaceae. The record is from RNAcentral.